AGUAAUGAUACAUGCAUAUUACAUACGCAUGUAGAUGUUGAAGAAGGAGAAAUCACUUGAUGCUCAACUGGAUGAUGAGAUAUGGUUUUGCAUGUCAAUUAUUAUUUUCCCAAUAAUAUACAGCACUCCAAUUGGAUUAUUAGAUGCUACACUUGGUGAACUUCAACGGAUAUGUGGAGCACAAUUACCCAGUGAAGUUCACCAAGUGAUCAUCUUCAACACCACCCGAACCAGAUUUCAUCAACCGAAGCAUAACUCUUGAGUUGGUGGAAUAUCCGUCUCCAAGUACUUUUGGAAAUACAUCAAAAUUAAAAUUUUACUAAAAAAUAUUUAUUAGUUCUUGAAAUCAUAUAGAUAUUCUACACUUUUCUAAAAGGUGUAUUUUUUUUUCCCUCAUCUAUUCCUUUAAUUUUUUAAUUGCAUUUAGUUUCAAACGCCACUGUAAUAAAGAUAAUGUUUACAAAUUGGAAGAGAUUUUUGUUUUUAUAAAGAUGAUUAUGAAUGAGCAACGCAUAGCUUUUAAUUUCCACUUUCCCAAA
Erythranthe guttata (spotted monkey flower) is the source of this 539-nucleotide non-coding RNA. The record is from RefSeq and is a predicted model, not a curated record. NCBI's taxonomy places the organism in Eukaryota, Viridiplantae, Streptophyta, Magnoliopsida, Lamiales, Phrymaceae.